ACAGCAGCCGCCACGGGAAUACGAAGGGGGCUAGCAUUGUUCGGAUUUACCGGGCGUAAAGGGCGCGUAGGCGGACUGAUAAGUCAGGGGUGAAAUCCCAAGGCUCAACCUUGGAACUGCCUUUGAUACUGUUUGUCUUGAGUUCGAGAGAGGUAAGUGGAACUGCGAGUGUAGAGGUGAAAUUCGUAGAUAUUCGGAGGAACACCAGUGGCGAAGGCGGCUCACUGGUCCAUUACUGACGCUGAGGUGCGAAAGCGUGGGGAGCAACCAGGAUUAGAUACCCGCGUAGUCCCUGUCUCUUAUAC
This 305-nucleotide ribosomal RNA is filed under the name uncultured bacterium. RNAcentral's name for it is "partial 16S ribosomal RNA". It matches the Rfam family "Bacterial small subunit ribosomal RNA", at positions 508 to 807 of the family's 1533-position model. The record is from RNAcentral.